This 90-nucleotide transfer RNA is filed under the name Bacteroidales bacterium. Its description in RNAcentral is "tRNA-Ser". It matches the Rfam family "tRNA". From Rfam's summary of the family: Transfer RNA (tRNA) molecules are approximately 80 nucleotides in length. Their secondary structure includes four short double-helical elements and three loops (D, anti-codon, and T loops). Lineage: Bacteria; Pseudomonadati; Bacteroidota; Bacteroidia; Bacteroidales. The record is from RNAcentral.
GGAGAGGUGGCCGAGUGGUUUAAGGCGCACGCCUGGAAAGUGUGUAUUCUGUGUGAAACGGAAUCGGGGGUUCGAAUCCCUUCCUCUCCG